RNAcentral lists this ribosomal RNA (414 nucleotides) under uncultured Glomeromycotina. Its description in RNAcentral is "SSU rRNA". It matches the Rfam family "Eukaryotic small subunit ribosomal RNA", at positions 680 to 1092 of the family's 1831-position model. Lineage: Eukaryota; Fungi; Glomeromycota. The record is from RNAcentral.
CUGGCUUCGCUGAUUCCUCCUUUCUGAAGAACUGUAAUGCCAUUAAUUUGGUGUUGCAGGGAAACAGGACUGUUACUUUGAAAAAAUUAGAGUGUUUAAAGCAGGCUAACGCUUGAAUACAUUAGCAUGGAAUAAUGAAAUAGGACGUUUGAUCCUAUUUUGUUGGUUUCUAGGAUUGACGUAAUGAUUAAUAGGGAUAGUUGGGGGCAUUAGUAUUCAAUUGUCAGAGGUGAAAUUCUUGGAUUUAUUGAAGACUAACUACUGCGAAAGCAUUUGCCAAGGAUGUUUUCAUUAAUCAAGAACGAAAGUUAGGGGAUCGAAGACGAUCAGAUACCGUCGUAGUCUUAACCAUAAACUAUGCCGACUAGGGAUCGGAUGAUGUUAAUUUUUUAAUGACUCAUUCGGCGCCUUACG